Molecule: ribosomal RNA, 260 nt
Filed under: uncultured bacterium
Lineage: Bacteria
Description: partial 16S ribosomal RNA
Rfam family: Bacterial small subunit ribosomal RNA
Source: RNAcentral
CGGCGGACGGGUGAGUAACGCGUGGGUAACCUGCCUCAUACAGGGGGAGUAACAGUUGGAAACGGCUGCUAAUACCGCAUAAGCGCACAGUACCGCAUGGUACGGUGUGAAAAACUCCGGUGGUGUGAGAUGGACCCGCGUUUGAUUAGCUAGUUGGUGGGGUAACGGCCUACCAAGGCGACGAUCAAUAGCCGACCUGAGAGGGUGACCGGCCGCAUUGGGACUGAGACACGGCCCAAACUCCUACGGGAGGCAGCAUG